UGUUUUCACUUGCUGUCACCAACUUGGAAGUGGGCAAUCUCUGCAAUACUCCGCUAUCCCUUCUGUUUACCGGCAUCUAUUGUUAGUGUUCAAAUGCUGUCAUGCUGAAUUAUCGUUGUAUCGUCGGCUGCCACAGUCAGUCAGACAGGGAGA
This is a long non-coding RNA of Thalassophryne amazonica, 153 nucleotides long. RefSeq lists it as uncharacterized. Lineage: Eukaryota; Metazoa; Chordata; Actinopteri; Batrachoidiformes; Batrachoididae. The transcript has 3 exons. The record is from RefSeq and is a predicted model, not a curated record.